AUGAACGCUGGCGGCGUGCCUCAUACAUGCCAGUCGCGCGAACAGACGAGGAGCUUACUCCUCUGACGUUAGCGGCGGACGGGUGAGUAACACGUGGAUAACCUACCUAUAAGACUGGGAUAACUUCGGGAAACCGGAGCUAAUACCGGAUAACAUGUUGAACCGCAUGGUUCAACAGUGAAAGACGGUCUUGCUGUCACUUAUAGAUGGAUCCGCGUCGCAUUAGCUAGUUGGUAAGGUAACGGCUUACCAAGGCAACGAUGCGUAGCCGACCUGAGAGGGUGAUCGGCCACACUGGAACUGAGACACGGUCCAGACUCCUACGGGAGGCAGCAGUAGGGAAUCUUCCGCAAUGGGCGAAAGCCUGACGGAGCAACGCCGCGUGAGUGAAGAAGGUCUUCGGAUCGUAAAACUCUGUUAUUAGGGAAGAACAAAUGUGUAAGUAACUAUGCACGUCUUGACGGUACCUAAUCAGAAAGCCACGGCUAACUACGUG
RNAcentral lists this ribosomal RNA (496 nucleotides) under uncultured bacterium. RNAcentral's name for it is "partial 16S ribosomal RNA". It matches the Rfam family "Bacterial small subunit ribosomal RNA", at positions 29 to 507 of the family's 1533-position model. The record is from RNAcentral.